Molecule: ribosomal RNA, 259 nt
Filed under: Xanthomonas citri pv. citri
Lineage: Bacteria; Pseudomonadati; Pseudomonadota; Gammaproteobacteria; Lysobacterales; Lysobacteraceae
Description: partial 16S ribosomal RNA
Rfam family: Bacterial small subunit ribosomal RNA
Source: RNAcentral
UUAAUACCUUUGCUCAUUGACGUUACCCGCAGAAGAAGCACCGGCUAACUCCGUGCCAGCAGCCGCGGUAAUACGGAGGGUGCAAGCGUUAAUCGGAAUUACUGGGCGUAAAGCGCACGCAGGCGGUUUGUUAAGUCAGAUGUGAAAUCCCCGGGCUCAACCUGGGAACUGCAUCUGAUACUGGCAAGCUUGAGUCUCGUAGAGGGGGGUAGAAUUCCAGGUGUAGCGGUGAAAUGCGUAGAGAUCUGGAGGAAUACCG